GUGCUCGCUUCGGCAGCACAUAUACUAAAAUUGGAAUGCUACAGAGAAGAUUAGAACAGCCCCUGUGCAAGGAUAACGUACAAAUUCAUGAAAUGUUCCAUAUUUUU
Molecule: small nuclear RNA, 107 nt
Organism: Mesoplodon densirostris (Blainville's beaked whale)
Lineage: Eukaryota; Metazoa; Chordata; Mammalia; Artiodactyla; Ziphiidae
Source: RefSeq, a predicted model, not a curated record